Dermochelys coriacea (leatherback sea turtle) is the source of this 622-nucleotide long non-coding RNA. RefSeq lists it as uncharacterized. The record is from RefSeq and is a predicted model, not a curated record. Lineage: Eukaryota; Metazoa; Chordata; Testudines; Dermochelyidae. The transcript has 2 exons.
UUGGUUAGGAGGAGUGUCACUCUGAAUCUUCCCAGCUGCUGAUUGGGGGAGGCGGACGAAGGGGCGGGGUGGGCGAGCUAGCGCUGCGGAGGAAACUGACCGCGGGAGCCGUAGCCGGAGCGACUCGGCUCGUGCAGAAGAGGAUCGGGCUGCGCCGCGCUGCAGGCAACAAAACCAAAGAAGAGAACAUCUGAUCCUUCAUUUAUGCUCCCAUUUGGGAUUUUAUUUGCAUCAUCUUGGAGCCUAUUUUAAAAAAAAAAAAAAAAGGCAAACCAAAUGCGCACACAACAUGUUGUGCAGAAGGACUUCCACUCCCUGACUGUGCUAUUAAUGUUAAUAAUCGGGAAAAGCCUUUGGGGGCUACAUGAUCUCUCGGCUGAAGCUUGCUGCUGUUGCUGCUAAGGGUUUUGGUGCAGGGAAACAAAACUGCCUUUUCCACCCCCUGAUUUCCUAACAUCUGCAUGUUUCUGCUGCCGCACUCUGUCUCACACCCUCUUCCCAUGGACUGAUUUUUUGUUGUUGUUGAGGGGGGGGGAAGGACAAGAAACCAAGGCAUUUCUUUGGGAGAAACAAAAUUGAUUUAUUUGUUGCAUUCUGGUGGAUCUGUUCUGAGGUUAAUCUU